Molecule: ribosomal RNA, 524 nt
Filed under: uncultured bacterium
Lineage: Bacteria
Description: partial 16S ribosomal RNA
Rfam family: Bacterial small subunit ribosomal RNA
Source: RNAcentral
GACGAACGCUGGCGGCGUGCUUAACACAUGCAAGUCGAACGGACAGACAGAGAGCUUGCUCUCUUGAAGUUAGUGGCGAACGGGUGAGUAACGCGUAAUCAACCUGCCCUUCAGAGGGGGAUAACAACGGGAAACCGUUGCUAAUACCGCGUACGAUUCAUGAACGGCAUCGUUUAUGAAUGAAAGGUGGCCUCUAUGUAUAAGCUAUCGCUGAAGGAGGGGAUUGCGUCUGAUUAGCUAGUUGGAGGGGUAACGGCCCACCAAGGCAAUGAUCAGGAGCCGGUCUGAGCGGAUGAACGGCCACAUUGGGACUGAGACACGGCCCAAACGCCUACGGGAGGCAGCAGUGGGGAAUCUUCCGCAAUGGACGAAAGUCUGACGGAGCAACGCCGCGUGAGUGAUGAAGGUCUUCGGAUUGUAAAGCUCUGUUAAUCGGGACGAAAGAGUUCUGCGUGAAUAAUGCAAAAAAGUGACGGUACCGGAAUAGAAAGCCACGGCUAACUACGUGCCAGCCGCCGCGGUAA